RNAcentral lists this transfer RNA (56 nucleotides) under Cavia porcellus (domestic guinea pig). It matches the Rfam family "tRNA", at positions 8 to 63 of the family's 71-position model. Rfam says of the family: Transfer RNA (tRNA) molecules are approximately 80 nucleotides in length. Their secondary structure includes four short double-helical elements and three loops (D, anti-codon, and T loops). Lineage: Eukaryota; Metazoa; Chordata; Mammalia; Rodentia; Caviidae. The record is from Rfam by way of RNAcentral.
UAGCUCAGUGGUAGAGUACUUGCCUAGCAUGCAUGAGGCCCUGAGUUCAAUCUCAG